GUGAGGAAUAUUGGACAAUGGGCGCAAGCCUGAUCCAGCCAUGCCGCGUGCAGGAAGACGCAUCUAUGGUGUGUAAACUGCUUUUGUACGGGAAGAAACACUCCCUCGUGAGGGAGCUUGACGGUACCGUAAGAAUAAGGAUCGGCUAACUCCGUGCCAGCAGCCGCUGUAAUACGGAGGAUCCAAGCGUUAUCCGGAAUCAUUGGGUUUAAAGGGUCCGUAGGCGGUUUAAUAAGUCAGUGGUGAAAGCCCAUCGCUCAACGAUGGAACGGCCAUUGAUACUGUUAGACUUGAAUUACAAGGAAGUAACUAGAAUAUGUAGUGUAGCGGUGAAAUGCUUAGAUAUUACAUGGAAUACCAAUUGCGAAGGCAGGUUACUACUUGUGGAUUGACGCUGAUGGACGAAAGCGUGGGGAGCGAACAGGAUUAGAAACCCUGGUAGUCC
This 445-nucleotide ribosomal RNA is filed under the name uncultured bacterium. RNAcentral's name for it is "partial 16S ribosomal RNA". It matches the Rfam family "Bacterial small subunit ribosomal RNA", at positions 354 to 796 of the family's 1533-position model. The record is from RNAcentral.